CGUACAUUUCACUUGAUACAUUCAACAUUAUACACCGUGUUGUCUCUUGAUUUUAUAAUAGUUGCAGGUUUGACAUCCUAAUAGCAAUUCCUAUGUGGUGCAGCAUAAACAAUUCAGGUAGCCAAGUCAAGGUUUCGGAAGGGAGGGGGGAUAGGGUACAGAAAUUAGAGCGAGAAUGGGAGGGAAUUUUGAGCGACAGGUGGUGCGGUUUUCUAG
Molecule: non-coding RNA, 216 nt
Organism: Pelobates cultripes (western spadefoot toad)
Lineage: Eukaryota; Metazoa; Chordata; Amphibia; Anura; Pelobatidae
Source: the annotation of a GenBank genome assembly